This 73-nucleotide transfer RNA is filed under the name Felis catus (domestic cat). It matches the Rfam family "tRNA". From Rfam's summary of the family: Transfer RNA (tRNA) molecules are approximately 80 nucleotides in length. Their secondary structure includes four short double-helical elements and three loops (D, anti-codon, and T loops). Further hydrogen bonds mediate the characteristic L-shaped molecular structure. tRNAs have two regions of fundamental functional importance: the anti-codon, which is responsible for specific mRNA codon recognition, and the 3' end, to which the tRNAs corresponding amino acid is attached (by aminoacyl-tRNA synthetases). tRNAs cope with the degeneracy of the genetic code in two manners: having more than one tRNA (with a specific anti-codon) for a particular amino acid; and 'wobble' base-pairing, i.e. permitting non-standard base-pairing at the 3rd anti-codon position. The record is from Rfam by way of RNAcentral. Lineage: Eukaryota; Metazoa; Chordata; Mammalia; Carnivora; Felidae.
GACUUUCUGGCUCAGUCUGUAGAGCAUGCAACUCUUAAUUUCAGGGUCAUGAGUUCAAGCCCCAUGUUGGGCA